Molecule: ribosomal RNA, 434 nt
Filed under: uncultured bacterium
Lineage: Bacteria
Description: partial 16S ribosomal RNA
Rfam family: Bacterial small subunit ribosomal RNA
Source: RNAcentral
AGCGAACGCUGGCGGCAGGCCUAACACAUGCUAGUCGAACGAACCUUUCGGGGUUAGUGGCGGACGGGUGAGUAACACGUGGGAACGUGCCUUUAGGUUCGGAAUAACUCAGGGAAACUUGUGCUAAUACCGAAUGUGCCCUUCGGGGGAAAGAUUUAUCGCCUUUAGAGCGGCCCGCGUCUGAUUAGCUAGUUGGUUGAGGUAAUGGCUCACCAAGGCGACGAUCAGUAGCUGGUCUGAGAGGAUGAUCAGCCACAUUGGGACUGAGACACGGCCCAAACUCCUACGGGAGGCAGCAGUGGGGAAUCUUGCGCAAUGGGCGAAAGCCUGACGCAGCCAUGCCGCGUGAAUGAUGAAGGUCUUAGGAUUGUAAAAUUCUUUCACCGGGGACGAUAAUGACGGUACCCGGAGAAGAAGCCCCGGCUAACUUCGUG